RNAcentral lists this ribosomal RNA (744 nucleotides) under uncultured bacterium. RNAcentral describes it as "bacterial SSU rRNA". It matches the Rfam family "Bacterial small subunit ribosomal RNA", at positions 8 to 798 of the family's 1533-position model. The record is from RNAcentral.
AGAGUUUGAUCAUGGCUCAGAGCGAACGCUGGCGGCAGGCCUAACACAUGCAAGUCGAACGAACUCUUCGGAGUUAGUGGCGGACGGGUGAGUAACACGUGGGAACGUGCCUUUAGGUUCGGAAUAGCUCCUGGAAACGGGUGGUAAUGCCGAAUGUGCCCUUCGGGGGAAAGAUUUAUCGCCUUUAGAGCGGCCCGCGUCUGAUUAGCUAGUUGGUGGAGUAAUGGCCCACCAAGGCUACGAUCAGUAGCUGGUCUGAGAGGAUGACCAGCCACAUUGGGACUGAGACACGGCCCAAACUCCUACGGGAGGCAGCAGUGGGGAAUCUUGCGCAAUGGGCGAAAGCCUGACGCAGCCAUGCCGCGUGUAUGAUGAAGGUCUUAGGAUUGUAAAAUACUUUCACCGGUGAAGAUAAUGACUGUAGCCGGAGAAGAAGCCCCGGCUAACUUCGUGCCAGCAGCCGCGGUAAUACGAAGGGGGCUAGCGUUGCUCGGAAUUACUGGGCGUAAAGGGAGCGUAGGCGGACAUUUAAGUCAGAGGUGAAAUCCCGGAGCUUAACUUCGGAACUGCCUUUGAUACUGGGUGUCUUGAGUGUGAGAGAGGUAUGUGGAACUCCGAGUGUAGAGGUGAAAUUCGUAGAUAUUCGGAAGAACACCAGUGGCGAAGGCGACAUACUGGCUCAUUACUGACGCUGAGGCUCGAAAGCGUGGGGAGCAAACAGGAUUAGAUACCCCGGUAGUCCAA